Phrynosoma platyrhinos (Desert horned lizard) is the source of this 74-nucleotide non-coding RNA. Lineage: Eukaryota; Metazoa; Chordata; Lepidosauria; Squamata; Phrynosomatidae. The record is from the annotation of a GenBank genome assembly.
UACUUAGUGUGGCAUAGUGGAUUGGGUGUUAGACUAGGACUCUGGAGACUAGGGUUCAAUUCCUUGCUUGGCCA